Molecule: ribosomal RNA, 492 nt
Filed under: uncultured bacterium
Lineage: Bacteria
Description: partial 16S ribosomal RNA
Rfam family: Bacterial small subunit ribosomal RNA
Source: RNAcentral
AGUGAACGCUGGCGGUAGGCCUAACACAUGCAAGUCGAACGGCAGCACAGUAAGAGCUUGCUCUUAAGGGUGGCGAGUGGCGGACGGGUGAGGAAUACAUCGGAAUCCACUUUUUCGGGGGGGAUAACGGAGGGAAACUUACGCUAAUACAGAAUACGAUGUACGGGAGAAAGCAGGGGAUCUUCGGACUUUGCGCGAUUGAAUGAGACGAUGCCGGAUUAGCUAGUUGGCGGGGUAAAGGCCCACCAAGGCGACGAUCCGUAGCUGGGCUGAGAGGAUGAUCAGCCACACUGGAACUGAGACACGGUCCAGACUCCUACGGGAGGCAGCAGUGGGGAAUCUUCCACAAUGGGCGCAAGCCUGAUCCAGCCAUACCGCGUGGGUGAAGAAGGCCUUCGGGUUGUAAAGCCCUUUUGUUGGGAAAGAACAACAGCAGGUUAAUACCCCGCUGUUCUGACGGUACCCAAAGAAUAAGCACCGGCUAACUUCGUG